Molecule: long non-coding RNA, 616 nt
Filed under: Pan troglodytes (chimpanzee)
Lineage: Eukaryota; Metazoa; Chordata; Mammalia; Primates; Hominidae
Description: long non-coding RNA NONPTRT013163
Source: RNAcentral
GCAGCGGCUGCUUCCUUUACCUUCCUCCCAUGGUCUCCUUCCGGUUCUCGAUGCUUCUCUGAGCCUAAGGGUUUCCGCCACUCGUUUACCCUCCCCCCAGCUCAUGAUCCUCCUCCCUCCCCCGCCCUCCUGGUCCAAUCUCCGAUCUGUUUAGUAAGAAGGUGCUGUUCCGAGAAGGAGAAGGAAAAGGGCUUGACACGUAUUCACUCGGCCCCGGACGUGGGAAGCAAGCCGUCUGGCUUCGGCCUCACAUCGGUCCUGUGCUCGGGACGGCGGCGUUGGCGGACUGAUCUGCGGCGGUGAAGAGGCGCCUGUGUCUGGCAGAGCUGGUGUGAGACGAGACAAUCCUGCCCCGCCGCCGGGAUAAUCAAGAGUUUUGGCCGGACCUUUGAGCAUACACCGAGAGAGUGAGGAGCCAGACGACAAGCACACACUAUGGCGCUGAAACGGAUUAAUAAGGAACUUAGUGAUUUGGCCCGUGACCCUCCAGCACAAUGUUCUGCAGGUCCAGUUGGGGAUGAUAUGUUUCAUUGGCAAGCCACAAUUAUGGGACCUAUAAGCAACUAUAUGCUGGAUAAUUGAAUAUUCAGAAUUAUGGAUACCAUCUAAGAAUUUC